RNAcentral lists this ribosomal RNA (465 nucleotides) under uncultured Klebsiella sp. Its description in RNAcentral is "bacterial SSU rRNA". It matches the Rfam family "Bacterial small subunit ribosomal RNA", at positions 338 to 795 of the family's 1533-position model. The record is from RNAcentral. Lineage: Bacteria; Pseudomonadati; Pseudomonadota; Gammaproteobacteria; Enterobacterales; Enterobacteriaceae.
CCUACGGGUGGCAGCAGUGGGGAAUAUUGCACAAUGGGCGCAAGCCUGAUGCAGCCAUGCCGCGUGUGUGAAGAAGGCCUUCGGGUUGUAAAGCACUUUCAGCGGGGAGGAAGGCGUUAAGGUUAAUAACCUUGGCGAUUGACGUUACCCGCAGAAGAAGCACCGGCUAACUCCGUGCCAGCAGCCGCGGUAAUACGGAGGGUGCAAGCGUUAAUCGGAAUUACUGGGCGUAAAGCGCACGCAGGCGGUCUGUCAAGUCGGAUGUGAAAUCCCCGGGCUCAACCUGGGAACUGCAUUCGAAACUGGCAGGCUAGGGUCUUGUAGAGGGGGGUAGAAUUCCAGGUGUAGCGGUGAAAUGCGGAGAGAUCUGGAGGAAUACCGGUGGCGAAGGCGGCCCCCUGGACAAAGACUGACGCUCAGGUGCGAAAGCGUGGGGAGCAAACAGGAUUAGAUACCCCAGUAGUC